GUGCUCGCUUUGGUAGCACAUAUACUCAAAUUUGAAAGAUAUAAGAGAUUGGCAUGGCCUCUGCACAAGGAUGACAUGUAAAUUUGUGAAGUGCCCCACAUUUUU
Small nuclear RNA from Capra hircus (goat), 105 nucleotides. The record is from Ensembl. Lineage: Eukaryota; Metazoa; Chordata; Mammalia; Artiodactyla; Bovidae.